UACGGAGGGGACUAGCGUUGUUCGGAAUUACUGGGCGUAAAGCGCACGUAGGCGGAUUUGUUAGUCAGGGGUGAAAUCCCGAGGCUCAACCUCGGAACUGCCUUUGAUACUGCAAAUCUCGAGUCCGGAAGAGGUGAGUGGAAUUCCUAGUGUAGAGGUGAAAUUCGUAGAUAUUAGGAAGAACACCAGUGGCGAAGGCGGCUCACUGGGCCGGUACUGACGCUGAGGUGCGAAAGCGUGGGGAGCAAACAGG
Molecule: ribosomal RNA, 253 nt
Filed under: uncultured bacterium
Lineage: Bacteria
Description: partial 16S ribosomal RNA
Rfam family: Bacterial small subunit ribosomal RNA
Source: RNAcentral